AUUGAACGCUGGCGGCAGGCCUAACACAUGCAAGUCGAGCGGUAGAGAGAAGCUUGCUUCUCUUGAGAGCGGCGGACGGGUGAGUAAUGCCUAGGAAUCUGCCUGGUAGUGGGGGAUAACGUUCGGAAACGGACGCUAAUACCGCAUACGUCCUACGGAGAAAGCAGGGGACCUUCGGGCCUUGCGCUAUCAGAUGAGCCUAGGUCGGAUUAGCUAGUUGGUGGGGUAAUGGCUCACCAAGGCGACGAUCCGUAACUGGUCUGAGAGGAUGAUCAGUCACACUGGAACUGAGACACGGUCCAGACUCCUACGGGAGGCAGCAGUGGGGAAUAUUGGACAAUGGGCGAAAGCCUGAUCCAGCCAUGCCGCGUGUGUGAAGAAGGUCUUCGGAUUGUAAAGCACUUUAAGUUGGGAGGAAGGGCAGUAAAUUAAUACUUUGCUGUUUUGACGUUACCGACAGAAUAAGCACCGGCUAACUCUGUG
Molecule: ribosomal RNA, 483 nt
Filed under: uncultured bacterium
Lineage: Bacteria
Description: partial 16S ribosomal RNA
Rfam family: Bacterial small subunit ribosomal RNA
Source: RNAcentral